RNAcentral lists this long non-coding RNA (613 nucleotides) under Solanum lycopersicum (tomato). RNAcentral describes it as "long non-coding RNA (SLYC_LNC000997)". Lineage: Eukaryota; Viridiplantae; Streptophyta; Magnoliopsida; Solanales; Solanaceae. The record is from RNAcentral.
UUGCAUGUAAAAGGUGGUGAGUUGGGGUCAAUUGGGAAGACACCUGGAGCACUUGGAGUUCCAGGGUCAAUGAUAGGGGUAGGUGGUGUUUCAAUGGUAGGUGUAGACGGGGUAGUAGGUGUAGGGGAAGGAUAGUAACCACCACCGCCACCUGGAGUGCUUGGAGUUCCAGGAUCAACGGUAGGAGUUGGUGGUGUUUCAAUAGUAGGUGUAGACGGGGUACUAGGUGUAGGUGUAGGCGAAGGAUAGUAACCACCACCACCCGGAGUGCUUGGAGUUCCAGGAUCAACGGUUGGAGUUGGUGGUGUUUCAAUAGUAGGCGUAGAGGGGGUAGAUGGUGUACUAGGUGUAGGAGUAGGGGAAGGAUAGUAACCACCACCCCCUGGAGUGCUUGGAGUUCCAGGGUCAACGGUAGGAGUUGGUGGUGUUUCAAUUGUAGGCGUAGAGGGGGUAGAUGGUGUACUAGGUGUAGGAGUAGGGGAAGGAUAGUAUCCACCACCCCCCGGAGUGCUUGGAGUACCGGGGUCAGGAGUUGGUGUACUAGGAGGGGUUCCACCUCCACCAUGAUGAGUUGGUGGAGGCGAAGAAUAACUACCUCCUCCAUGCCCUCCUG